GUGAAAUGAUGAUGAAGUUUAUCCAUUCUCUGAGUGCAGCUGCUCUUCCCUUCCUGUCACAUUGAGACUUCAGUUCUGUGGCCUCAAUGCUCUGUGGCUUCUAAACAUCUUCCAGGCUUCCAGUGUUCUAUUGGAGGUUGUGAGGGUGUUUGGCUAGCUACUGACUGGAUCUGGGCAGAGAAGCCAGAGCCCUUUCAUCUGGGGUUCUGACUCAACAAAGAAGAAUGAAGCCGUCUGAUCAC
Molecule: small nucleolar RNA, 242 nt
Organism: Candoia aspera
Lineage: Eukaryota; Metazoa; Chordata; Lepidosauria; Squamata; Candoiidae
Product: small nucleolar RNA SNORD17
Exons: 1
Source: RefSeq, a predicted model, not a curated record